AAUACAUAGCGUAAUGAAGCGAACCGGGGGAACUGAAACAUCUAAGUACCCCGAGGAAAAGAAAUCAACCGAGAUUCCCCCAGUAGCGGCGAGCGAACGGGGAGGAGCCCAGAGCCUGAAUCAGCAUGUGUGUUAGUGGAAGCGUCUGGAAAGGCGCGCGAUACAGGGUGACAGCCCCGUACACAAAAGCGCAUAUGCUGUGAGCUCGAUGAGUAGGGCGGGACACGUGGUAUCCUGUCUGAAUAUGGGGGGACCAUCCUCCAAGGCUAAAUACUCCUGACUGACCGAUAGUGAACCAGUACCGUGAGGGAAAGGCGAAAAGAACCCCGGCGAGGGGAGUGAAACAGAACCUGAAACCGUGUACGUACAAGCAGUGGGAGCCCCACCACUAAGCCAGUGGUGAACUCCACAUACGCAUCCUUUGCGGAAGGUGCGGUUAACGGAGCGUAAGCGACGUUCAACCUCAUAAAGAAGCAGAGGGGGCUUAGUGGUGGGGUGACUGCGUACCUUUUGUAUAAUGGGUCAGCGACUUAUAUUCUGUAGCAAGGUUAACCGCAUAGGGGAGC
This 566-nucleotide ribosomal RNA is filed under the name Salmonella enterica subsp. salamae. RNAcentral describes it as "partial 23S ribosomal RNA". It matches the Rfam family "Bacterial large subunit ribosomal RNA", at positions 161 to 666 of the family's 2925-position model. The record is from RNAcentral. Lineage: Bacteria; Pseudomonadati; Pseudomonadota; Gammaproteobacteria; Enterobacterales; Enterobacteriaceae.